This 254-nucleotide ribosomal RNA is filed under the name Brucella canis. RNAcentral describes it as "partial 23S ribosomal RNA". It matches the Rfam family "Bacterial large subunit ribosomal RNA", at positions 2669 to 2925 of the family's 2925-position model. The record is from RNAcentral. Lineage: Bacteria; Pseudomonadati; Pseudomonadota; Alphaproteobacteria; Hyphomicrobiales; Brucellaceae.
GAUCUGUCCCUAGUACGAGAGGACCGGGAUGGACGUAUCUCUGGUGGACCUGUUGUGGCGCCAGCCGCAUAGCAGGGUAGCUAUAUACGGACGGGAUAACCGCUGAAGGCAUCUAAGCGGGAAACCCACCUGAAAACGAGUAUUCCCUAUCAGAGCCGUGGAAGACCACCACGUUGAUAGGCCGGGUGUGGAAGUGCGGCAACGCAUGCAGCUUACCGGUACUAAUAGCUCGAUCGACUUGAUCACUCCCAUUU